RNAcentral lists this ribosomal RNA (393 nucleotides) under uncultured bacterium. RNAcentral's name for it is "bacterial SSU rRNA". It matches the Rfam family "Bacterial small subunit ribosomal RNA", at positions 28 to 424 of the family's 1533-position model. The record is from RNAcentral.
GACGAACGCUGGCGGCGUGCUUAACACAUGCAAGUCGAGCGGUAAGGCCCUUUCGGGGGUACACGAGCGGCGAACGGGUGAGUAACACGUGGGUGACCUGCCCUCAGCUCUGGGAUAAGCCUGGGAAACUGGGUCUAAUACCGGAUAUGACUCCAUGACGCAUGUUGUGGGGUGGAAAGCCUUGUGCGGCUGAGGAUGGGCCCGCGGCCUAUCAGCUUGUUGGUGGGGUGAUGGCCUACCAAGGCGACGACGGGUAGCCGGCCUGAGAGGGCGACCGGCCACACUGGGACUGAGGCACGGCCCAGACUCCUACGGGAGGCAGCAGUGGGGAAUCUUGCGCAAUGGGCGAAAGCCUGACGCAGCGACGCCGCGUGAGGGAUGACGGCCUCGGUU